UGAGGAAUAUCCGGUCAAUGGGCGCAAGCCUGAACCAGCCAAGUAGCGUGCAGGAAGACGGCCCUAUGGGUUGUAAACUGCUUUUAUACGAGAAUAAUUUGAUGCACGUGUGCGUUAUUGCAUGUAUCGUAUGAAUAAGGACCGGCUAAUUCCGUGCCAGCAGCCGCGGUAAUACGGAAGGUCCAGGCGUUAUCCGGAUUUAUUGGGUUUAAAGGGAGUGUAGGCGGUUUGUUAAGCGUGUUGUGAAAUUUAGGUGCUCAACAUUUAACUUGCAGCGCGAACUGUCAGACUUGAGUACACGCAACGUAUGCGGAAUUCAUGGUGUAGCGGUGAAAUGCUUAGAUAUCAUGAAGAACUCCGAUUGCGAAGGCAGCAUACGGGAGUGUAACUGACGCUUAAGCUCGAAGGUGCGGGUAUCGAACAGGAUUAGAUACCCUGGUAGUCCGCACAGUAAACGAUGGAUGCCCGCUGUUAGCGCCUGGCGUUAGCGGCUAAGCGAAAGCAUUAAGCAUCCCACCUGGGGAGUACGCCGGCAACGGUG
Molecule: ribosomal RNA, 541 nt
Filed under: uncultured bacterium
Lineage: Bacteria
Description: bacterial SSU rRNA
Rfam family: Bacterial small subunit ribosomal RNA
Source: RNAcentral